Molecule: non-coding RNA, 114 nt
Organism: Acanthosepion pharaonis
Lineage: Eukaryota; Metazoa; Mollusca; Cephalopoda; Sepiida; Sepiidae
Source: the annotation of a GenBank genome assembly
UUAUGGCCAUAUCACGAUUUAUCACUGGUACUUGUACGAUCACCGAAGUUAAGCAACAUCGAGCCUGGUCAGUAACUAGAUGGAUAACCGCUAUGGAAUACCACGUGCUGUAAG